Molecule: unclassified non-coding RNA, 337 nt
Filed under: soil metagenome
Description: partial contains 5.8S ribosomal RNA, internal transcribed spacer 2, and large subunit ribosomal RNA
Rfam family: 5.8S ribosomal RNA (bases 1-120)
Source: RNAcentral
GAUGAAGAACGUAGCGAAAUGCGAUAAGUAGUGUGAAUUGCAGAAUUCAGUGAAUCAUCGAAUCUUUGAACGCACAUUGCGCCCUUUGGUAUUCCUUAGGGCAUGCCUGUUCGAGCGUCAUUUACAAAUUCAAGCUCAGCUUGGUGAUGGGUGUCUGUCCCGCCUUUGCGCGUGGACUCGCCUCAAAUGCAGUUGACAGCUUAUCCCUCGGCUCUAAACGCAGCAGAUUUGCGUCGAGCGUCGUGUGGACGGGCUCUCCAGUAAGCAAACCCCCCAAAAUUGACCUCGGAUCAGGUAGGGAUACCCGCUGAACUUAAGCAUAUCAAUAAGCGGAGGA